Molecule: transfer RNA, 77 nt
Filed under: Sulfidibacter corallicola
Lineage: Bacteria; Pseudomonadati; Acidobacteriota; Holophagae; Acanthopleuribacterales; Acanthopleuribacteraceae
Description: Acanthopleuribacteraceae bacterium M133 tRNA-Arg
Rfam family: tRNA
About the family: Transfer RNA (tRNA) molecules are approximately 80 nucleotides in length.
Source: RNAcentral
GCGCCCGUAGCUCAGUUGGAUAGAGCGGCGACCUCCUAAGUCGUAGGUCACAGGUUCGAUUCCUGUCGGGCGCACCA